AUAUCGGUUAUGGUGGUGAAGAUAGUGGUCAUCAGCCAUAUUUUAUCUGGGAUUUCAGCUGUGUGACCCGGAGGAGGAAGAGCAAGCUAGUCAUGCUGAAAAGGAGAGGGAGUUGCUCAGACAUUUCCAUGAACAAUCUUUGAGGGCAAAGCUGAAAAACGAAAAGAAAGGUAGAGGCUUUUCUCAAGUGGGUUUUUGAGUGGGAUGUUGAAGAAGGCUUAUACCAGAUCCUUCAAUUCCUUGCAGAACAGCCUUGGUCUAAAGAACAAACUGGAUGUUAGAGAACUUGCAAUUCAUUUUGGGGUGUGUUCGAAUCAUUCCUGUUGUGCAAAAGGUUUAUACCUGUAAGUUUUAAUUUCCUUUCUGCAAUGCAGUUUUCACGUUGACUGAAGUUUUAAAUCUUGAGAUUGCAAUUUGGAUUUUCAGUAGCGAGGGGGUUUAUU
Molecule: long non-coding RNA, 443 nt
Organism: Rosa rugosa (rugosa rose)
Lineage: Eukaryota; Viridiplantae; Streptophyta; Magnoliopsida; Rosales; Rosaceae
Exons: 4
Source: RefSeq, a predicted model, not a curated record